GACGAACGCUGGCGGUGUGCUUCACACAUGCAAGUCGAACGAGGUAGCAAUACCUAGUGGCGGACGGGUGAGUAACGCGUGGGAAUCUGCCCAUAGGUGGGGGAUAACUAGCCGAAAGGUUAGCUAAUACCGCAUACGCCGAAAGGUAAAAGGAGUAAUCCGCCUUUGGAUGAGCCCGCGUCCGAUUAGCUAGUUGGUAGAGUAAAAAGCCUACCAAGGCGACGAUCGGUAGCUGGUCUGAGAGGAUGAUCAGCCACAAUGGGACUGAGACACGGCCCAUACUCCUACGGGAGGCAGCAGUGGGGAAUUUUACGCAAUGGGGGAAACCCUGACGUAGCGACACCGCGUGAAUGAAGAAGCCCUUUGGGGUGUAAAAAUUUCUGUCGGCUGGGAAGAAAAAAUGACGGCACCAGCAAAGGAAGCAUCGGCUAACUACGUGCCAGCAGCCGCGGUAAU
Molecule: ribosomal RNA, 456 nt
Filed under: uncultured bacterium
Lineage: Bacteria
Description: bacterial SSU rRNA
Rfam family: Bacterial small subunit ribosomal RNA
Source: RNAcentral